UCUGGUGCCAGCAGCCGCGGUAAUUCCAGCUCCAAUAGCGUAUAUUAAAGUUGUUGCGGUUAAAAAGCUCGUAGUUGGACUUGUGUCCCACGCCGUCGGUUCGUCGCCCGUCGACGUAACCGCACGGUCAAUGACUAAGUGGGACGUCCAGCCGGUGAGGUGCAGGUCGUCCGUCGGGCGGGCCGCGUGCGCUGCGCGCGCGUCCACCUUCGCGGGUGGUCGCGUCGUGGCCUCGUGGUUUCGCGCGCGGGCGGUGCCGAUCUCAUUCUACUCGGCUCGGUGCUCUUAAUCGAGUGUCUUGCCGGGCCGGCUCGUUUACUUUGAACAAAUUAGAGUGCUUAAAGCAGGCUGUAAACGCUUGAAUAUUGUGUGCAUGGAAUAAUGGAAUAGGAUCUCGGUUCUAUUUUGUUGGUUUUCUGAACCAGAGAUAAUGAUUAAUAGAGACUGACGGGGGCAUUCGUAUUGCGACGUUAGAGGUGAAAUUCUUGGAUCGUCGCAAGACGAACCGAAGCGAAAGCGUUUGCCAAGAACGUUUUCUUUAAUCAAGAACGAAAGUUAGAGGUUCGAAGGCGAUCAGAUACCGCCCUAGUUCUAACCAUAAACGAUGCCAACUAGCGAUCCGCCGGUGUUCCUCCGAUGACCCGGCGGGCAGCUUCCGGGAAACCAAAGUGUUUGGGUUCCGGGGGAAGUAUGGUUGCUGAAACUUAAAGGAAUUGACGGAAGGGCACCACCAGGAGUGGAGCCUGCGGCUUAAUUUGACUCAACACGGGAAACCUCACCAGGCCCGGACACUGGAAGGAUUGACAGAUUGAUAGCUCUUUCUUGAUUCAGUGGGUGGUGGUGCAUGGCCGUUCUUAGUUGGUGGAGCGAUUUGUCUGGUUAAUUCCGAUAACGAACGAGACUCUGGCCUGCUAACUAGUCGCGCAAUCAAACGACAUCCGCAUUCGUGCUGUCGGCGACAACAAUAAACUCUUUCUUAGAGGGACAGGCGGCUUCUAGCCGCACGAGAUUGAGCAAUAACAGGUCUGUGAUGCCCUUAGAUGUUCUGGGCCGCACGCGCGCUACACUGAAGGGAUCAACGUGUGUCUCACCCCUUGGCCGAGAGGUCCGGGUAACCCGCUGAACCCCCUUCGUGCUAGGGAUUGGGGCUUGCAAUUCUUCCCCAUGAACGAGGAAUUCCCAGUAAGCGCGAGUCAUAAGCUCGCGUUGAUUACGUCCCUGCCCUUUGUACACACCGCCCGUCGCUACUACCGAUUGAAUGAUUUAGUGAGGUCUUCGGACCGUCGCGCGGCAGCGCACGCAAGUGCCUGCCGAUGUCGACGGAAAGAUGAUCAAACUUGAUUAUUUAAAGGAAGUAAAAGUCGUAACAAGGUUUCCGUAGGUGGAAA
RNAcentral lists this ribosomal RNA (1388 nucleotides) under Austrocerca tasmanica. RNAcentral describes it as "SSU rRNA". It matches the Rfam family "Eukaryotic small subunit ribosomal RNA", at positions 560 to 1813 of the family's 1831-position model. Lineage: Eukaryota; Metazoa; Arthropoda; Insecta; Plecoptera; Notonemouridae. The record is from RNAcentral.